GGAUGACGGCCUUCGGGUUGUAAACCGCUUUCGCCUGUGACGAAGCGUGAGUGACGGUAAUGGGUAAAGAAGCACCGGCUAACUACGUGCCAGCAGCCGCGGUGAUACGUAGGGUGCGAGCGUUGUCCGGAUUUAUUGGGCGUAAAGGGCUCGUAGGUGGUUGAUCGCGUCGGAAGUGUAAUCUUGGGGCUUAACCCUGAGCGUGCUUUCGAUACGGGUUGACUUGAGGAAGGUAGGGGAGAAUGGAAUUCCUGGUGGAGCGGUGGAAUGCGCAGAUAUCAGGAGGAACACCAGUGGCGAAGGCGGUUCUCUGGGCCUUUCCUGACGCUGAGGAGCGAAAGCGUGGGGAGCGAACAGGCUUAGAUACCCUGGUAGUCCACGCUGUAAACGGUGGGUACUAGGUGUGGGGUCCAUUCCACGGGUUCCGUGCCGUAGCUAACGCUUUAAGUACCCCGCCUGGGGAGUACGGCCGCAAGGCUAAAACUCAAAGGAAUUGACGG
This 500-nucleotide ribosomal RNA is filed under the name uncultured bacterium. RNAcentral's name for it is "bacterial SSU rRNA". It matches the Rfam family "Bacterial small subunit ribosomal RNA", at positions 406 to 916 of the family's 1533-position model. The record is from RNAcentral.